UGGGGCUGCCUUGUGCACCGAAUCAGUGAUCGGGCAGCGUAAUACAAAGAGGGAACGCUUGAUCAUCUGAGCUGGUUUUGUACAGAAUGUCAGAGAGUAAUGUGGAUAGCAUCCAGAUAUCUGUUAGUAACGAUGAGAGGAGGAAUAGGGCAUAUGCCGAGAUCUCGGAGGACGAGCCGAGGCAGACCAGGAUGCGAUCACUGAAGAAGAAAGCCUUGCAUGCAUCGACAAGACUCACACACUCCCUGAAGAAGAGGGGGGAAGAGAAAAGUGGACUACAGAGUGCCAAGGAUAGCUAUAGAAGAUGUCAGGGAUGCUGAAGAAGAGCAGGCAGUGAACUCGUUUCGGUAGGUUUUGUUUGCUAGGGGCUUGCUACCAGUCAAGCAUGAUAAUUCCCACACGAUGCUUAGAUUGAGAUCUGACACAUGAGGAAAUAUGCUCAUAUUGUUAUUUUCAGCUAUAUAAUGUCAGUUGUUUAUUUUUA
Long non-coding RNA from Zea mays, 484 nucleotides. RefSeq lists it as uncharacterized. Lineage: Eukaryota; Viridiplantae; Streptophyta; Magnoliopsida; Poales; Poaceae. The transcript has 2 exons. The record is from RefSeq and is a predicted model, not a curated record.